CUGGAGACGAGAGAUUCUCUGUAACGGCACGGGAGGAACACGUCCCGUCACUGAGAGAUUAACGGAUUUCGGUUCGAGGAGAUAAAGAGCAUCGGCUGAUGGGGCUGAAGCUGAUCAAGCUACUGUUCCGUCGCCGCCGCCCGCCGCCGUUCGCCGCCGUUCCUGAUCUCAGCUGCGUUGGCUAAUGAGCAGGACUCGCGUUGGUACCGGUUUGGCUCUGUUCUUGGCCGAGCUGAUUCGAAGGUCGGAAUCCUUUGCGAUGCCAGGAUUUCGUUCGUCGGUUGAAUCGCGAAAGGUCCUGUUGCCGAUUCGAGCGUUCGUCGCAAUGCAAACGUCACGGGCCAGGUAAUAUCUAUUAUCUUUGCUAUCGAGAUGGAUGUUCUUUCUUUUAGGAUUAAAGCACGCGUUGGGCGCGAUUGGAUUGUUGCCUUGGUCGGAGUGCUGCUUGUUGAUCUUACUUCGAAUCAGGCCGUGAAUUCGAGCCUAAGACAGCGUAAUUUUACUUCACGAUUUGUUGACCACCGAGUGUUUGAUAAUAUGCCUCUUAGUCACUGACAUUGAAUAGAUUGCGGUUUCGUUCGAACUGAAGAUGCGCAGACGUAGAUUCAUUAUUUUCUUGGUGCAUUGAUUCGGGUUUUGUUUCAUCAUCAUCAAGAUUGAUUCUGAACGUGUUCUGUUCUGUUUGUCUCUUCUUUGUAUUUGGCAUGUUUCUUUGCUGCGUUCGAUGACAAUGGCCGCUGACGAGAGGAAUCGGAAUUCAAACUGAUGGUCCAAGUAUCCGUCUCUAAGCUCAGAGGCACGGCACUUGUUUAUCCAAGUAUGUUUCUGUUCCCAUGUUCUGCGUUUGAGUGAUUAUGGCCUGCGUGAGUGACGGUGAUCUGGUAGGGAAUGGAGAGGCCGAUAAUGAAAUUGAAUUGGUUCCGUGGUGAACUGAGACUGUGAUGGAGAUCCAGGGAUGGUUGCCGGUGUCGAUGGCAUACGUUGAGGGGAAGGAGGUUUCCGGGAAGGAAGUUGACAUCUCUGGAUCUCAAGGUUUCACUUGGCAAUAUAGUUUUGUCGUUUUUAUUGAUGACGCUUCAUUCAGCUUUUUGAAUAAGGGGAAGAAAUCAUCGACUCUGUAAAAUCUGACAGCAUAUGAGCGGUUUCAAAUAUUCGAAGAGUUCGAUUUGAUGCUCCCUUCCUCCAAGUUCUUUACAACUUGCCAAGUACCAAAUUAUAUUUAAUACGUUUCUCUAAAUAGCAUGGUAUAUUUAUAAAGGAUGACGUUCUUGAAAUGAAACUCAGGUUGUUAUAAAGAAGCUUUGUUGGCUGACUACCUUUUCUAAAAGGUUUGAUGUUUUGCGAAAAAUAUGGUAAGUUUAAAAGUCAGCAGUACCUCUCAAAAUUUAAUUUGAAUUUGGGUCAAAACCAGAACUAAUGAUUAUUUGGAUUUAAUGCAAAUCACUAAAUUCAACCUUUUGACGAACCUAUAUUUGGUAUAUUUUUAGUAGGCUCGGCUUGCUAACUUGCAUGUUUUGCAGUAUCUUAGAUAUUUGACAUAGCAAGAGUCAAUAUUUGAAGAUUCUCAAAGGGAAUUCACGCCUAUCUUUGGUAACAGUGGUUACCAAUGUAAAAAAAUAAAGUAUUUUGAAAUUAAGUGUUGGAUGAUCGGUGAUUGGAAUGAUGACUGGCGGCAUCCGCUAACAAUAGCGGCGGCGGCUACGUCGGCGGAGGCAUCGGUCUAGUGACUGGAGUUUUUUGAUAGGGAAGCAUGUCAUUUUCGGUUCAAGAUAAAAUAGACAUGAAUCUUUGUCGAAGUUUUGGUUUUCUCGUAUACGUGGGUUCCAAGGUUGCCGGGAAGAAGACGAUGGGGGCAAGAAAAGAAGAAAAAAAGUUCUAAUAUUUUUGGUUCAACUCAUACCGGUUACUUUAUUGCACUGUAUCUUUUACUCUCACUUCAUUACUUUCUUAGAUCAAUUGUGAUUCUUUUA
Molecule: long non-coding RNA, 1970 nt
Organism: Eucalyptus grandis
Lineage: Eukaryota; Viridiplantae; Streptophyta; Magnoliopsida; Myrtales; Myrtaceae
Exons: 2
Source: RefSeq, a predicted model, not a curated record